UAGCAGCCCCUCCUAACCCCUUGGGGCAGG
RNAcentral lists this small RNA (30 nucleotides) under Bombyx mori (domestic silkworm). RNAcentral describes it as "ovarian small RNA-22267". The record is from RNAcentral. Lineage: Eukaryota; Metazoa; Arthropoda; Insecta; Lepidoptera; Bombycidae.